UUAAAUUGAAGAGUUUGAUCAUGGCUCAGAUUGAACGCUGGCGGCAGGCCUAACACAUGCAAGUCGAACGGUAACAGGAAGCAGCUUGCUGCUUCGCUGACGAGUGGCGGACGGGUGAGUAAUGUCUGGGAAACUGCCUGAUGGAGGGGGAUAACUACUGGAAACGGUGGCUAAUACCGCAUAACGUCGCAAGACCAAAGAGGGGGACCUUCGGGCCUCUUGCCAUCAGAUGUGCCCAGAUGGGAUUAGCUAGUUGGUGAGGUAACGGCUCACCAAGGCGACGAUCCCUAGCUGGUCUGAGAGGAUGACCAGCCACACUGGAACUGAGACACGGUCCAGACUCCUACGGGAGGCAGCAGUGGGGAAUAUUGCACAAUGGGCGCAAGCCUGAUGCAGCCAUGCCGCGUGUAUGAAGAGGGCCUUCGGGUUGUAAAGUACUUUCAGCGGGGAGGAAGGUGUUGUGGUUAAUAACCGCAGCAAUUGACGUUACCCGCAGAAGAAGCACCGGCUAACUCCGUGCCAGCAGCCGCGGUAAUACGGAGGGUGCAAGCGUUAAUCGGAAUUACUGGGCGUAAAGCGCACGCAGGCGGUCUGUCAAGUCGGAUGUGAAAUCCCCGGGCUCAACCUGGGAACUGCAUUCGAAACUGGCAGGCUUGAGUCUUGUAGAGGGGGGUAGAAUUCCAGGUGUAGCGGUGAAAUGCGUAGAGAUCUGGAGGAAUACCGGUGGCGAAGGCGGCCCCCUGGACAAAGACUGACGCUCAGGUGCGAAAGCGUGGGGAGCAAACAGGAUUAGAUACCCUGGUAGUCCACGCCGUAAACGAUGUCUACUUGGAGGUUGUGCCCUUGAGGCGUGGCUUCCGGAGCUAACGCGUUAAGUAGACCGCCUGGGGAGUACGGCCGCAAGGUUAAAACUCAAAUGAAUUGACGGGGGCCCGCACAAGCGGUGGAGCAUGUGGUUUAAUUCGAUGCAACGCGAAGAACCUUACCUGGUCUUGACAUCCACAGAACUUUCCAGAGAUGGAUUGGUGCCUUCGGGAACUGUGAGACAGGUGCUGCAUGGCUGUCGUCAGCUCGUGUUGUGAAAUGUUGGGUUAAGUCCCGCAACGAGCGCAACCCUUAUCCUUUGUUGCCAGCGGUUAGGCCGGGAACUCAAAGGAGACUGCCAGUGAUAAACUGGAGGAAGGUGGGGAUGACGUCAAGUCAUCAUGGCCCUUACGACCAGGGCUACACACGUGCUACAAUGGCGCAUACAAAGAGAAGCGACCUCGCGAGAGCAAGCGGACCUCAUAAAGUGCGUCGUAGUCCGGAUUGGAGUCUGCAACUCGACUCCAUGAAGUCGGAAUCGCUAGUAAUCGUGGAUCAGAAUGCCACGGUGAAUACGUUCCCGGGCCUUGUACACACCGCCCGUCACACCAUGGGAGUGGGUUGCAAAAGAAGUAGGUAGCUUAACCUUCGGGAGGGCGCUUACCACUUUGUGAUUCAUGACUGGGGUGAAGUCGUAACAAGGUAACCGUAGGGGAACCUGCGGUUGGAUCACCUCCUUACCUUAAAGAAGC
RNAcentral lists this ribosomal RNA (1556 nucleotides) under Salmonella enterica subsp. enterica serovar Typhimurium str. USDA-ARS-USMARC-1810. RNAcentral's name for it is "bacterial SSU rRNA". It matches the Rfam family "Bacterial small subunit ribosomal RNA". The record is from RNAcentral. Lineage: Bacteria; Pseudomonadati; Pseudomonadota; Gammaproteobacteria; Enterobacterales; Enterobacteriaceae.